UGCCCCAUGGCUGAGUUGGUUACAGCGUCCGACUGUUACUUAUCUGUAGACAAAUCGGAAGGUCGUGAGUUCGAGCCUCACUGGGGCAG
Marasmius sp. AFHP31 is the source of this 89-nucleotide non-coding RNA. The record is from the annotation of a GenBank genome assembly. NCBI's taxonomy places the organism in Eukaryota, Fungi, Basidiomycota, Agaricomycetes, Agaricales, Marasmiaceae.